AGAGUUUGAUCCUGGCUCAGGAUGAACGCUGGCGGCGUGCUUAACACAUGCAAGUCGAACGGAGUUUAUGGAGCUUGCUCUGUAAACUUAGUGGCGGACGGGUGAGUAACGCGUGGGUAACCUGCCUUUCACAGGGGGAUAACAGUUAGAAAUGACUGCUAAUACCGCAUAAGCGCACAGGACGGCAUCGUCUCGUGUGAAAAACUCCGGUGGUGAAAGAUGGACCCGCGUCUGAUUAGCCAGUUGGCAGGGUAACGGCCUACCAAAGCGACGAUCAGUAGCCGGCCUGAGAGGGUGAACGGCCACAUUGGGACUGAGACACGGCCCAAACUCCUACGGGAGGCAGCAGUGGGGAAUAUUGCACAAUGGGGGGAACCCUGAUGCAGCGACGCCGCGUGAGUGAAGAAGUAUUUCGGUAUGUAAAGCUCUAUCAGCAGGGAAGAAAAUGACGGUACCUGACUAAGAAGCCCCGGCUAACUACGUGCCAGCAGCCGCGGUAAUACGUAGGGGGCAAGCGUUAUCCGGAUUUACUGGGUGUAAAGGGUGCGUAGAUGGUUUAGCAAGUCUGAAGUGAAAGCUCGGGGCUCAACUCCGGAACUGCUUUGGAAACUGUUGAACUAGAGUGCAGGAGGGGUAAGCGGAAUUCCUAGUGUAGCGGUGAAAUGCUUAGAUAUUAGGAGGAACACCGGCGGCGAAGGCGGCUUACUGGACUGUAACUGACAUUGAGGCACGAAAGCGUGGGGAGCAAACAGGAUUAGAUACCCUGGUAGUCCACGCCGUAAACGAUGAUCACUAGAUGUUGGGGGGCACAGCCCCUCGGUGUCGCAGCAAACGCAAUAAGUGAUCCACCUGGGGAGUACGUUCGCAAGAAUGAAACUCAAAGGAAUUGACGG
This 893-nucleotide ribosomal RNA is filed under the name uncultured bacterium. RNAcentral describes it as "bacterial SSU rRNA". It matches the Rfam family "Bacterial small subunit ribosomal RNA", at positions 8 to 916 of the family's 1533-position model. The record is from RNAcentral.